RNAcentral lists this ribosomal RNA (244 nucleotides) under uncultured bacterium. RNAcentral describes it as "partial 16S ribosomal RNA". It matches the Rfam family "Bacterial small subunit ribosomal RNA", at positions 529 to 772 of the family's 1533-position model. The record is from RNAcentral.
AGGUGGCGAGCGUUAUCCGGAUUUACUGGGUGUAAAGGGCGCGUAGGCGGGAAUGCAAGUCAGAUGUGAAAUCCAGGGGCUCAACCCUUGAACUGCAUUUGAAACUGUAUUUCUUGAGUGUCGGAGAGGUUGACGGAAUUCCUAGUGUAGCGGUGAAAUGCGUAGAUAUUAGGAGGAACACCAGUGGCGAAGGCGGUCAACUGGACGAUAACUGACGCUGAGGCGCGAAAGCGUGGGGAGCAAA